Molecule: long non-coding RNA, 790 nt
Organism: Triticum aestivum (bread wheat)
Lineage: Eukaryota; Viridiplantae; Streptophyta; Magnoliopsida; Poales; Poaceae
Exons: 3
Source: RefSeq, a predicted model, not a curated record
UAGCCCCAAUCCACAACCCCGCGCCCCUCACUCCUCCCUCCCUCGUCUGCCGCCACUCCCUCCCACCUCCUCCUCCUGCGCCCUAGGAGCCCCGCCGCCGACUGCUACUCCUCCACCGCCUCGCCUCUUCCUCCUCCUCGCCUUCCCACCGCUCGUCUUCAGGUCGCAGCGGUGGUUCCCGAUCUGAGCCGUCUUCAGGUGUGUGGAGCGACGGAGGUCGGCUCCCUCCUUCUCCACGGUCGCGCGGCGGGAGAGGAGUCAGCCCCGGUGCUCUGCCUCUCCACCCGUCUCCGCAAGCCAUCGUCCGAUGCCGUCGUUGCCCGCCAUCAUCUUUCUCGUUGCCUGCUUGCUUGAGGACCAUGGCAUUCCUCGCUGUAGCCGAUGCUUAUGCGUUCGGUUAGGUUAAGGACGUGCAUCCCCUUUCAACAGAUCGAUUUCGCUCGUCGCUCUUCAAGCGCUGAUUUGUUCUUCCCUUUCUCUUCUUAUUUUCUUGCUGUUCAUACAACCGCUGCUGCCGGUUUCCUGCUUCUGCCUCUUCCGUAUGCCUGUCCGCACUGUUUGUUCCAAGAAGCGAAGGCGGAGGUGGAGAUGCGGGAGAGGCCGAGUCCGAGGUGGCAGAGGACGAGCAAUGAAAAUGGCAGAGAGUGGUCGCGAGCUCAUUCCGGCGGCCGGCGUACGCAGCCGUGAGGGGUGGGGUGGAUGAGCAAGCGGCGUCGCCGUCGCUGCCUCGUGGGUGCAGACGAGAAGAUGGCAUGCAUAUGUUGAUGUACCAAAUAUCGAGGCAUUGCUA